GAUGAACGCUAGCGGCAGGCCUAACACAUGCAAGUCGAGGGAGAAGCCCUUUCGGGGGCAGAAACCGGCGCACGGGUGCGUAACGCGUAUGCAACCUACCUUUCACAGGGGGAUAGCCCGAAGAAAUUUGGAUUAAUACCCCAUAAUAUUAUUGGAUGGCAUCAUUUGAUAAUUAAAACUGCGGUGGUGAAAGAUGGGCAUGCGCCCUAUUAGCUAGUUGGAGUGGUAACGGCACCCCAAGGCUACGAUAGGUAGGGGUCCUGAGAGGGAGAUCCCCCACACUGGUACUGAGACAGGGACCAGACUCCUACGGGAGGCAGCAGUGAGGAAUAUUGGGCAAUGGUCGGAAGACUGAACCAGCCAUGCCGCGUGCAGGAAGAAUGCCUUAUGGGUUGUAAACUGCUUUUAUAUGGGAAGAAUAAGGCGUACGUGUACGUUGAUGACGGUACCAUAUGAAUAAGCAUCGGCUAACUCCGUG
Molecule: ribosomal RNA, 478 nt
Filed under: uncultured bacterium
Lineage: Bacteria
Description: partial 16S ribosomal RNA
Rfam family: Bacterial small subunit ribosomal RNA
Source: RNAcentral